Molecule: ribosomal RNA, 166 nt
Filed under: uncultured bacterium
Lineage: Bacteria
Description: partial 16S ribosomal RNA
Rfam family: Bacterial small subunit ribosomal RNA
Source: RNAcentral
CUACCGGAGGCAGCAGUGGGGAAAUUUGCACAAUGCCAGAAAGGGUGAUGCAGGGACGCCAUGUUAGCUAAGAAGGCCUUCGGGUUGUAAAGCUCUUUUAUUUGGGAAGAAUGGCUGUCAUAGGGAAUGACGACAGCAGAGACGGUACCCGAUAAAGACCCGUCCC